GAGGUGGAGGCUGACCUACGAGGCUGAAUGAACGAGUCUGUGAAGGAUUCUGCCAAGCAGCCAGAGGGAGGAGAACACGGAAGGCUUUUAAGGAGUGAGACCAACACUACUAGGACGCCCCACUGGACUCAGACGAGAUGAGGCUGGAGACACAGCCACUGGAUGAGCAGUCCUGGGCACAGGUAGCCCAGUAGGACUGAGAACCAGCCGGCGCCCACCUGUGCAGACCCAACUAACCAUCAGGCUGCCCGCAGACACAAGGAGGAUGGCUUCCCGCACGUCCACCUGCUUCAGCACUCCUCCAGAAGGAGCCGUCCUUGUCCUAACUAUGGAAAUGAAGGGAACAGAGACCUCCUGGCCCAGCAACAGAGUCUGGAAAGAGGACUGGUGACAAGGAUGGCACUUGGGCCCUUUGAGGGAGGCUGACUGAGAACCAGGGAAGAUGGUCCCAGGCGUUGGCCUCCCAGUCCUCUCCCAGAACAUGAGCCCGCUCGGUGAUGCCACACAGCAGAGCCACAAUGCCACUUCCAAGAACAGUUCCAACUGCUCAAGGAUGGAAGCACAGUCACGCACGCUGCCCAAGGCAACCUGAGGAUGCAUCACAUUCUCGGAUCCUCCCCGCCCCGACAUGUGAGUCAGGAUCCUGCGAGUGAGGUACAGGACACUGCAGGGAGAGAUCCAGCAAGCCCUGCCCCUCCUAUCCCUGCUCUGGAGCCAGGGGCAGUAGUGAGGCCCCUCCCCCAGACAAAUCCGGCCCCCUAUCACCUGCGAAUGUGUCCCCACCACCCCACUCCCACACCUAGUGCUACAGGUAGUGGAGUGAUCUAAGCAAUCUGGAGGCCAGACUUUAAUGCAAAUCAUACUACUCCAGUUAUUAAAUGUUUACAA
This 888-nucleotide long non-coding RNA is filed under the name Homo sapiens (human). Its description in RNAcentral is "HSALNT0130651". The record is from RNAcentral. Lineage: Eukaryota; Metazoa; Chordata; Mammalia; Primates; Hominidae.